UUUAACCUCCUCUUACAAUAAGAUAAGUUUGCUAACCCUUUUUAAAGUCAUUUAAAGUCCUGAUAACUUUAACGAACUUAGAAAAGGUUUCCAGAUAAAUUUUCUGAUUUAUUCCAUUUCCGAAAAUGAUCCUUAACCUGUUUUUUAUUACAUUUUUUUCAGGUGAAAAUCCACGAAUGUGGUAAUUUCUUUGCCGUUGUGUGGUACAAGGAGAAUACAAGAAACCAGUUUUCAGACCGAGUAUAUGUCUACAGACAUCACUCGGGGGUAUCUAAGGCCGAGGGUGUAUGGAUGGGACGAGCCAGCCAUAUUUACGAACCUACCAACUUUGUGAUGAAGGUUUUAGUUUCUCCACUUUUAUUAUUAG
Molecule: long non-coding RNA, 367 nt
Organism: Eurytemora carolleeae
Lineage: Eukaryota; Metazoa; Arthropoda; Copepoda; Calanoida; Temoridae
Exons: 3
Source: RefSeq, a predicted model, not a curated record